GGAAGUAAAAGUCGUAACAAGGUCUCCGUUGGUGACCCAGCGGAGGGAUCAUUA
This 54-nucleotide ribosomal RNA is filed under the name Fusarium solani. RNAcentral's name for it is "partial 18S ribosomal RNA". It matches the Rfam family "Eukaryotic small subunit ribosomal RNA", at positions 1778 to 1831 of the family's 1831-position model. The record is from RNAcentral. Lineage: Eukaryota; Fungi; Ascomycota; Sordariomycetes; Hypocreales; Nectriaceae.